GAAGGCGGCCAGAGCGGCAGGGACACACCCGUACCCAUCCCGAACACGGACGUUAAGCCUGUCUGCGUAUCGGCCAGUACUGGAGUGCGCGAGCCUCUGGGAGACCCGAUUCGCCGCCUCACCAUUCAUACUUCAUUUCAUUCACUCGGCGAGCGACGGCCAUCCGUCCACUCGUCGC
RNAcentral lists this ribosomal RNA (178 nucleotides) under Haloplanus aerogenes. Lineage: Archaea; Methanobacteriati; Methanobacteriota; Halobacteria; Halobacteriales; Haloferacaceae. The record is from RNAcentral.